Molecule: ribosomal RNA, 466 nt
Filed under: uncultured bacterium
Lineage: Bacteria
Description: bacterial SSU rRNA
Rfam family: Bacterial small subunit ribosomal RNA
Source: RNAcentral
AGGACGAACGCUGGCGGCGUGCCUAACACAUGCAAGUCGAGCGAGUGAAUCUCCUUCGGGAGUGAAGCUAGCGGCGGACGGGUGAGUAACACGUGGGCAACCUGCCUCAUAGAGGGGAAUAGCCUUUCGAAAGGAAGAUUAAUACCGCAUAAGAUUGUAGCUUCGCAUGAAGUAGCAAUUAAAGGAGCAAUCCGCUAUGAGAUGGGCCCGCGGCGCAUUAGCUAGUUGGUGAGGUAACGGCUCACCAAGGCGACGAUGCGUAGCCGACCUGAGAGGGUGAUCGGCCACAUUGGGACUGAGACACGGCCCAGACUCCUACGGGAGGCAGCAGUGGGGAAUAUUGCACAAUGGGGGAAACCCUGAUGCAGCAACGCCGCGUGAGUGAUGACGGCCUUCGGGUUGUAAAGCUCUGUCUUCAGGGACGAUAAUGACGGUACCUGAGGAGGAAGCCACGGCUAACUACGUG